This is a transfer RNA of Hypholoma sublateritium FD-334 SS-4, 128 nucleotides long. It matches the Rfam family "tRNA". From Rfam's summary of the family: Transfer RNA (tRNA) molecules are approximately 80 nucleotides in length. Their secondary structure includes four short double-helical elements and three loops (D, anti-codon, and T loops). The record is from Rfam. Lineage: Eukaryota; Fungi; Basidiomycota; Agaricomycetes; Agaricales; Strophariaceae.
GGUUAGAUGGCCGAGCGGUCUAAGGCGCCAGACUAAGGAUCAGAGCAAUUACUGCUCACCAUUGACCAACGUUCAUUCGUUGAGUUAUCUGGUCCUCCGGGGCGUGGGUUCGAAUCCCACUCUAAUCA